Molecule: unclassified non-coding RNA, 526 nt
Filed under: Hevea brasiliensis (rubber tree)
Lineage: Eukaryota; Viridiplantae; Streptophyta; Magnoliopsida; Malpighiales; Euphorbiaceae
Source: RNAcentral
UGUCACUGUAUAAAAUUCAGGCAAGUGAAUAAAGAAAAUUUCACAUUAGGACUGAAUGAUUUCUAUACUGUAAUUUCAAAGCAUUCUAGACACUAAUUCUGCCAGCUGUGUGUGUAAAGUCUAAAGAGCAUUCUACUGUCCCUCAAGGGUACCAAGUGCCUCCUUUAGAAGCUUCUGAGCUUCUUCCCUUCUCCGCUUGAUAUCCUCUAUUGCUUGUUUACGUCGUUGUAUCUGAAGUUCUAGAAUGUGGAUAAGUGUGGCUCGAGCCUGGUGAGGACGCAGAGAAUUGAGUAGGUGGUGCAAGUUCUUGAAUAUCAGAGAUAUCUCUUCCACUCUCCUGGCAUAUUGCGAAGGGCGCUCUACAAGAACAUCAGCAAGCUCCAAUAUAUGUAGCUGCAAUUCUCUGUUAAGUGCUCUUAGUUCUUUCUUGAAAUCAACAUUAGGCCCUUUUGGGUAUAACUGACGCACGCCCUGCUCUUCCAAAUUUGGGAGUACAUCAUCAGUAGUGUAGUUGCUACCAAAGAGG